Molecule: ribosomal RNA, 252 nt
Filed under: uncultured bacterium
Lineage: Bacteria
Description: partial 16S ribosomal RNA
Rfam family: Bacterial small subunit ribosomal RNA
Source: RNAcentral
UACGAAGGGUGCAAGCGUUGUUCGGAAUUACUGGGCGUAAAGCGCGCGUAGGCGGGCCGCUAAGUCGAUUGUGAAAGCCCUGGGCUUAACCUGGGAAUGGCAUUGGAAACUGGCUGGCUGGAGUGUGGCAGAGGGGGUGGAAUUCCACGUGUAGCAGUGAAAUGCGUAGAGAUGUGGAGGAACACCGAUGGCGAAGGCAGCCCCCUGGGCCAACACUGACGCUCAGGCACGAAAGCGUGGGGAGCAAACAGG